UAAAAUUACAAUUUAAAUUUUAAUUUGAAUCCAUAAAUUUAAUUUAAGUUUGAAAUAAAAUUUGAAUAAAAUUUUAUAUAAAUUAAAAUUUAAUUUAAAUUCAAAUUCAUAAGUUAGAUUCGAAAUACUUGAUUAAAUUUUAAUUUUUAAUUUAAGUUCAAAUUAAAAUUUAAAAUUAUAUAUUUAAUUUUUAAAUUUUAACUCAUAUUUUAAUUAAAAAAGUUGAAAAAAUAAAUUUAAUCCGAAUAAAUAUCCAUUCCGCCAGGAUUCAACUUUCACUCAUGCCUUCUAGGCCGGAUUGAAAAAUGAGAUGAUUGGGGGAUUCUCAUUCUACUCGAGAAUCGGAAUCGGAAUGGGACUCCCGCUUACCAAACACCUACAAAUGGAUUCACCCAUUCCGAUUCCGAUUCUAUGGUUAAAAAGAAGCGAACCAAACACACCCUAAUUUCAUAAUUUUUCGACAUCAUUUGGCUAGUGAUCAAAAGGUUUCAAAAUUAACAAUUUUAAUGGUAGAUAUGAGGCGUUUUUAAGUUCAACGGUGUAGAAGUAUCCAAAUUAGAUGAAAAUUUAAUAAAAAAUUCUACCUAACAUCAAUAUCAAAACCAAUACUUCCGAUUUGAAAUUUGAAUUUUUUAUCAUUAUUUUUAUGAGAUUUCUCUCUCUCUCUCUCUCUCUCUCUCUCUCUCUCUCUCUCUCUCUCUCUGUAAUAACUGAGAUUUUGAUUUAUUGAUUAAACCCUUUUGUUUGAUGAUGUUCUUGUGUGUAAUAUAAUUAUAAGUGUACCCGUCAAAUUUCAGGAGAAAACGAGUUAAAACGGAGAAGUUACGCGACCCGGAAGUCUGACUUAAGUGAAUAGUAACUCCGGUUUUCCGGAGAGGCCGCGANUAUAUAUAUAUAUAUAUAUAUAUAUAUAUAUAUAUAUGUGUGUUUCCAACAGCAUGUUCACGUGACGCUCGAGAUGAUGUGAGACUGAUUGAAUCGAGUCAGAAUCGAAAAAUGUAAAUAUUAUAUAUCUAUA
Molecule: long non-coding RNA, 1018 nt
Filed under: Ananas comosus (pineapple)
Lineage: Eukaryota; Viridiplantae; Streptophyta; Magnoliopsida; Poales; Bromeliaceae
Description: long non-coding RNA (ACOM_LNC000409)
Source: RNAcentral